ACCUCUCUCAUGUGUCCGAGUCAACAAGGUGGCGGUGAAGUCAUUCUGCGACUUCACAUCGAACAUCGUCCCAAAAUACAACAAAUUCAACAGAUCCUCGACCGCGUAACCACAGUCACCAGGAGUGCCUUUAUCGGACUCGCAGUUGCUUUUCUCGCUAUCAUCCUUAUCCGGAAUUGCAUUGUCGGAAAUGGAAGAUUGUUGCUGGUGACUUUGGAGGGCGAGGGCGAUUUCUUCAGAGACGGCUGU
RNAcentral lists this unclassified non-coding RNA (249 nucleotides) under Hevea brasiliensis (rubber tree). Lineage: Eukaryota; Viridiplantae; Streptophyta; Magnoliopsida; Malpighiales; Euphorbiaceae. The record is from RNAcentral.